GUCGCGUCCAGGGCCACACCCGGGCUGCCCGUCGCUUGGGAGCGGCGCCCACUGGAAAGGUGGGGAAGAUGCGGCAAGGCGGCCGCGGGUGACCGCUGGCAGCCAUUGUGGCGUGCUCCCGUGCUGUCUUCCAAGAGCCUCGAAAACUGGGCUGCCAUAUAUUGGAAUCUACUACAUUGUAAUUUUAUUCACGUAUGGAACACCUGUAUAUACUUUUGAUUCUUGCUACAGAAACACAGUUCUGUAAAUGAAGGCCCAGCCAAAAAACCUUAAGAAGAUAGAGGUAAAAUUUUGCCUCCCCUACAGUUUCUGAUUAUGAGGUUGGGAUUUCAAUGGUUGGGACACUGAGAGAUCCUGGGACAGCUGACAAAAAGCCAGCAGAAGCAUUGGUCAAGACAGCAGAAAAGAUGAACCAACAGAAUGUAAGUCCAAUGAGAAGAGUCACUAGAACAUCUGUGGGAGCACAGAGGAGAAACUGCCCAGGAGUCAAGAAAGUUUUCAUAGAGGAGGUAAUAUUUGACUUGAAUUC
Long non-coding RNA from Globicephala melas (long-finned pilot whale), 529 nucleotides. RefSeq lists it as uncharacterized. The record is from RefSeq and is a predicted model, not a curated record. NCBI's taxonomy places the organism in Eukaryota, Metazoa, Chordata, Mammalia, Artiodactyla, Delphinidae.